AACCAUUGAUGAAAAUGAUUCUGCCAUAUGAGCUUUGCUGAUUCUACCCCUACCGUUCCAUUUCAGUCUGAGGUU
This is a small nucleolar RNA of Rhincodon typus (whale shark), 75 nucleotides long. RefSeq annotates it as small nucleolar RNA SNORD47. Lineage: Eukaryota; Metazoa; Chordata; Chondrichthyes; Orectolobiformes; Rhincodontidae. The record is from RefSeq and is a predicted model, not a curated record. The transcript has a single exon.